AGGACGAACGCUGGCGGCGUGCUUAACACAUGCAAGUCGAGCGGAAAGGCCCUUCGGGGUACUCGAGCGGCGAACGGGUGAGUAACACGUGAGUAAUCUGCCCUUAGCUCUGGGAUAGCUCCGGGAAACCGGGAUUAAUACCAGAUACGACCACACUAGACAUCUUCUGUGGUGGAAAGAAUUUCGGCUAGGGAUGAACUCGCGGCCUAUCAGCUUGUUGGUGAGGUAACGGCUCACCAAGGCGACGACGGGUAGCCGGCCUGAGAGGGCGACCGGCCACACUGGGACUGAGACACGGCCCAGACUCCUACGGGAGGCAGCAGUGGGGAAUAUUGCGCAAAUGGGCGAAAGCCUGACGCAGCGACGCCGCGUGGGGGAUGAAGGCCUUCGGGUUGUAAACCCUUUCAGCAGGACGAAGCGAAAGUGACGGUACUGCAGAAGAAGCGCCGGCAACUACGCGCCAGCAGCCGC
Molecule: ribosomal RNA, 471 nt
Filed under: uncultured bacterium
Lineage: Bacteria
Description: SSU rRNA
Rfam family: Bacterial small subunit ribosomal RNA
Source: RNAcentral